This is a long non-coding RNA of Xiphophorus maculatus (southern platyfish), 1912 nucleotides long. RefSeq lists it as uncharacterized. NCBI's taxonomy places the organism in Eukaryota, Metazoa, Chordata, Actinopteri, Cyprinodontiformes, Poeciliidae. The transcript is spliced from 3 exons. The record is from RefSeq and is a predicted model, not a curated record.
GAGUUUUUCUUUCCACGGUUCAUUUUAACAACCUUAACAUUUAUUUCAAUUUCCUCAAUAAGUUAGAAAAAGAGAGAAAAAAACUGUUAAAUCUGUGCUUUCUAGGUGCAAGAGUGCACAUCCAGGUGCUCCCUGCAUGUGGGUGGGUCCUGUGUGUGUGUGCGCACGCCAGAGAGAGUGUGUGAGCAGACGUUCACAUGUGGACUGCUUCGACUCGUCGGAGGAUGCUUGCCGGCUCUCUGCUCGCAUGCUCUCGCUGCUCCGAUCAUGCAUCUGCUUUACUAAAGUGGGAUAAAAAAUACAUAUAUAUAUAUAUAUAUAAAAAAUGUGUUUCUUUCACUCGCUCGCACAUGUGGACUGGUUUUUGAGACAGGGGCACGGAGACAGAAGCGGGGCUGCAGGGACGCUGCUAAGAGAGGUGCAAUUGCCGCAAAGAUGUUUUUCUUAGACGCUCCAGCAGACAGGAAUCCACUGGCAAGAAGAAAGCCCCGGUCUUCCCCACGAGAGCAAGAGUACAAAGCCCCCCAGUCUGCACACAGCAGAUGCGGGGAAAGCUAGUCCAUCUGCCACCAGCUUGCCGAGCCACAUGGGCCUGAGAGCGCUAAUGCAAGUGGAGUGAGGUGUUUAUUCCCUCCAUGACUCUUCUUCUGGGGGUUUCUGCUACCAAGGUCAGGGGAUACAAGCAAGCCCACCAGCGCACUGAUGAGGUGGCAGCAGAAAAACGGGGGAGAGAAACAGACAUGUGGAGUGGGUACAGUGAGGAGGGUGGGGGUGGCAGCUGGUUACCAACCUUGGCAAGAGCAGCAGGAGCGUCAUGACAACGGAAGCGGAGGACGUUGACUACCAUUUCAUCUCAACGCAGCGAUUUCAGCGGUUUGCACACAACUACAGAGACUUUUGAAACCAUUCAUUUUCAAUUAAGGUUGCGACAAAGUGAAUUGCUUUGGGGUAAUUAGAUACAGACAGGCAGAGUUGGUUUACGCGUCACUUCAUCACACAAGAUGGUGAGAAAGAAUAGCUUGAGAGUAGCAGCAAUUGCUUGACAUUAAACUGACUAAUCUCCGGGUACUCUGAGCAUUAGGCAUAUUUCAAGUUGCACCUAGAAACUGGACAAUGAUUGAGGUUGACAUUUUUUCAACUUAAUUGGCUUUGACCAGUAGUGCUUUGGAAGCGCAAAUAAAAAUUUCCAGCACUGAAUGAACCAUACAACACUAGUAGGUUGUGAUUGUCAAUCACUCUUCAGUGUGGACACUGUUACACAGUGAAGACUCAAAUAUGGCCAUUUUCCAUAAGAGUGAGGUCUUUGAAGAUGAAAUCAGAUGAAAGACUAAAGCUGUUGGAAAAUAUGUAAAAGGAAAAUAUUUCCCAGAUUUGCCUGCUGUUUAUUCAGGCUGUCACAAAAGAAUUGCUUUGUUUAUCUAUUUUACAAAUUUAAAAGUCAAUUAAGAGUCUAUUUUCUUUAGGAGUAAAGGAUAAACCCGGCAGUUAACAGCACCUUGCACACAGUCUUGUUGUAUGAUGCUAUAACAAUUCGUUGUCUUUGUGACGUCACCUCUGCUUCUUGAAUAAACAAUUAAAUUAGAAUCCACAACAGGAAGAGUAGAAAAUUACAUGUUGAAUUCUGCCAAUAGUAGUACUUAAAAAGAACUAAGAAUUAGUAAAAUCAGUAUCAGCUUAAAAAGCAGCCACACAAAGUUUUCGCUUCCUGAAAAUUUUUAAAUUGGGCACAACAUUCAUGGCAUCUCUAGUAGUAUUUAGUUUUCCCUUGUUGUUAUUCUUUUGACUUCCCUCAUCUCACAUUAAAUCUAAUACUAUUGUCACUUUGCAAGAAAAAAAAUCCAAUGUUUCAAAAAAUAAAGAAACCCACAUGCAUGAAAUAAAGCAUACCCCUAUUCAUUCUUUGUCAAUCAAA